CAGGACUUAGCUCGCUUUGUGAACAGAUCUGUGAAAGCCUAUGUUCACAGUGGCUAAGUUCCGCU
This is a microRNA precursor of Salmo trutta (river trout), 65 nucleotides long. Ensembl annotates it as microRNA 27a. Its record names the gene mir27a. NCBI's taxonomy places the organism in Eukaryota, Metazoa, Chordata, Actinopteri, Salmoniformes, Salmonidae. The record is from Ensembl.